Molecule: ribosomal RNA, 253 nt
Filed under: uncultured bacterium
Lineage: Bacteria
Description: partial 16S ribosomal RNA
Rfam family: Bacterial small subunit ribosomal RNA
Source: RNAcentral
UACGUAGGUGGCAAGCGUUGUCCGGAAUUAUUGGGCGUAAAGCGCGCGCAGGUGGUCCUUUAAGUCUGAUGUGAAAGCCCACGGCUCAACCGUGGAGGGUCAUUGGAAACUGGGGGACUUGAGUGCAGGAGAGAAAAGUGGAAUUCCACGUGUAGCGGUGAAAUGCGUAGAGAUGUGGAGGAACACCAGUGGCGAAGGCGACUUACUGGACCACGACUGACACUGAGGCACGAAAGCGUGGGUAGCAAACAGG